This 277-nucleotide ribosomal RNA is filed under the name uncultured bacterium. RNAcentral's name for it is "partial 16S ribosomal RNA". It matches the Rfam family "Bacterial small subunit ribosomal RNA", at positions 32 to 321 of the family's 1533-position model. The record is from RNAcentral.
AAUCAACGCUGGCGGCGCGCUUAACACAUGCAAGUCGAACGAGAAAGUCCGCAAGGAUGAGUAAAGUGGCGUACGGGUGAGUAACACGUGGAUGAUUCACCUCUUAGUGGGGAAUAACUCUGGGAAACCGGAGCUAAUACCGCAUAAGUCCGAGAGGAGAAAGCCGAAAGGCGCUGAGAGAGGAGUCCGCGGCCGAUUAGCUAGUUGGUAGGGUAAAGGCCUACCAAGGCGAUGAUCGGUAGCCGGCCUGAGAGGGCACACGGCCACACUGGCACUG